Molecule: unclassified non-coding RNA, 472 nt
Filed under: Hevea brasiliensis (rubber tree)
Lineage: Eukaryota; Viridiplantae; Streptophyta; Magnoliopsida; Malpighiales; Euphorbiaceae
Source: RNAcentral
AGAGUUUGAAAAAUGGAUGAAGGCAAAUAGCAUGGUAAUUUCUUGGAUCCUUAAUUCCAUUUCCAAAGAAAUUGUGGAAGCAUUCGUUUAUAGCAACCACAGCAAAGGAAUUAUGGGAGGAGUUAGUGCAGAGAGUCGGUGGGAGCAACGGUCCUCAAAUAUAUCAGAUCAAGAGGGAGAUUAGUGAUCAUCAUCAUGGUAACGGGUCAGUUAUGAUGUAUUUUACAAAAUUAAAAAAAAAUUAUGGGAUGAAUUAAUGUGGCUCAAACCCAUUCCGACCUGCAAUUGUUUUGCAUCAAAGUAAUUAACUGAGAUGUUUGAUAAUGAUAGAUUGAUGCAAUUUUUUAUGGAACUCAAUAGUACUUAUGAUCGUGUUAAAAAUUAAGUGUUGCUAAUGGAUCAAUUUCCUACAAUAAACAAAGCUUACUCUAUGGUAUUGAGUGUUGAAAAACAGAGGGAGGUCAAUGCUUUU